This 74-nucleotide transfer RNA is filed under the name Candidatus Eiseniibacteriota bacterium. Its description in RNAcentral is "tRNA-Arg". It matches the Rfam family "tRNA". Rfam says of the family: Transfer RNA (tRNA) molecules are approximately 80 nucleotides in length. Their secondary structure includes four short double-helical elements and three loops (D, anti-codon, and T loops). Further hydrogen bonds mediate the characteristic L-shaped molecular structure. tRNAs have two regions of fundamental functional importance: the anti-codon, which is responsible for specific mRNA codon recognition, and the 3' end, to which the tRNAs corresponding amino acid is attached (by aminoacyl-tRNA synthetases). tRNAs cope with the degeneracy of the genetic code in two manners: having more than one tRNA (with a specific anti-codon) for a particular amino acid; and 'wobble' base-pairing, i.e. permitting non-standard base-pairing at the 3rd anti-codon position. The record is from RNAcentral. Lineage: Bacteria; Candidatus Eiseniibacteriota.
GCGCCCGUAGCUCAAUUGGACAGAGCGUCUGCCUCCGGAGCAGAAGGUCGCGCGUUCGAGUCGCGCCGGGCGCG